UUGAGCGCUGGCGGCAUGCCUAACACAUGCAAGUCGAACGGCAGCAUGGUGCAGUUUACUGUACUGAUGGCGAGUGGCGGAUGGGUGAGUAACGAGUAGGAAUACACCUUUAGGACUGGGACAACUUGUGGAAACGAGAGCUAAUACCGGAUAAUAUCUGAGGAUAAAAGCUGGGGACCUUAGGGCCUGGCGUCUAGAGAGUAGCCUGCGUCUGAUUAGCGAGUUGGUGGGGUAAGGGCCUACCAAAGCGACGAUCGGUAGCCGGUCUGAGAGGAUGGACAGCCACACUGGGACUGAGAGACGGCCCAGACUCCUACGGGAGGCAGCAGUGGAGAAUAUUGGACAAUGGGGGGAACCCUGAUCCAGCGAUGCCGCGUGUGUGAAGAAGGCCUGAGGGUUGUAAAGCACUUUAGGUGGGGAGGAGGAUUUAUUGGUUAAGAGCUGAUGAAUUGGACGUUACCCACGGAAUAAGCACCGGCUAACUCCGUGCCAGCCGCCGCGGUAA
Molecule: ribosomal RNA, 505 nt
Filed under: uncultured bacterium
Lineage: Bacteria
Description: partial 16S ribosomal RNA
Rfam family: Bacterial small subunit ribosomal RNA
Source: RNAcentral